This 628-nucleotide ribosomal RNA is filed under the name Nocardia sp. RNAcentral's name for it is "bacterial SSU rRNA". It matches the Rfam family "Bacterial small subunit ribosomal RNA", at positions 180 to 822 of the family's 1533-position model. Lineage: Bacteria; Bacillati; Actinomycetota; Actinomycetes; Mycobacteriales; Nocardiaceae. The record is from RNAcentral.
CACGGUCUGCAUGGACUGUGUUGGAAAGGUUUACUGGUGCGAGAUGGGCCCGCGGCCUAUCAGCUUGUUGGUGGGGUAACGGCCUACCAAGGCGACGACGGGUAGCCGACCUGAGAGGGUGACCGGCCACACUGGGACUGAGACACGGCCCAGACUCCUACGGGAGGCAGCAGUGGGGAAUAUUGCACAAUGGGCGAAAGCCUGAUGCAGCGACGCCGCGUGGGGGAUGACGGCCUUCGGGUUGUAAACCCCUUUCGACAGGGACGAAGCGCAAGUGACGGUACCUGUAGAAGAAGCACCGGCCAACUACGUGCCAGCAGCCGCGGUAAUACGUAGGGUGCGAGCGUUGUCCGGAAUUACUGGGCGUAAAGAGCUUGUAGGCGGUCUGUCACGUCGAUUGUGAAAACUUGGGGCUCAACUCCAAGCUUGCAGUCGAUACGGGCAGACUAGAGUACUUCAGGGGAGACUGGAAUUCCUGGUGUAGCGGUGAAAUGCGCAGAUAUCAGGAGGAACACCGGUGGCGAAGGCGGGUCUCUGGGAAGUAACUGACGCUGAGAAGCGAAAGCGUGGGUAGCGAACAGGAUUAGAUACCCUGGUAGUCCACGCCGUAAACGGUGGGUACUAGGUG